Non-coding RNA from Schistocerca americana (American grasshopper), 96 nucleotides. The record is from the annotation of a RefSeq genome assembly. NCBI's taxonomy places the organism in Eukaryota, Metazoa, Arthropoda, Insecta, Orthoptera, Acrididae.
GAUGGGAGGCCCAAAAAAAAAAAAAAAAGUGGUUAAGGCGUUGGACUGCUAAUCCAAUGUGCUCUGCACGCGUGGGUUCGAAUCCCAUCCUCAUCA